UACGUAGGGGGCUAGCGUUGUCCGGAUUUAUUGGGCGUAAAGAGCGUGUAGGCGGCCAGGUAGGUCUGGUGUGAAAACUCGAGGCUUAACCUCGAGAUGUCAUCGGAAACCAUCUGGCUAGAGUCCGGAAGAGGAGAGUGGAAUUCCACGUGUAGCAGUGAAAUGCGUAGAGAUGUGGAGGAACACCGAUGGCGAAGGCAGGUCUCUGGGCCAUAACUGACGCUGAGAAGCGAAAGCAUGGGGAGCGAACAGG
Molecule: ribosomal RNA, 253 nt
Filed under: uncultured bacterium
Lineage: Bacteria
Description: partial 16S ribosomal RNA
Rfam family: Bacterial small subunit ribosomal RNA
Source: RNAcentral